Long non-coding RNA from Salvia splendens (bonfire salvia), 574 nucleotides. RefSeq lists it as uncharacterized. Lineage: Eukaryota; Viridiplantae; Streptophyta; Magnoliopsida; Lamiales; Lamiaceae. The transcript has 3 exons. The record is from RefSeq and is a predicted model, not a curated record.
AUAGAUAUGGGAUCGUAUGACAUGAAAAUAAAUUAGUACAAGGAAAUAAAUUUAACUUAAUUAAAUAAAUAAUUAGAAUUUUAAAGAAAAAUCUAGAAGUUGUUGGAUAAAAGUUAAAAGUCAAAGACUUAUCUUCUCUCCCUCAUGAUUUUCGUCCAUGAGCAGCUCCCCACAACCUCCAUAGCCAAAAACCUUCUUUCUCAUUUAUUUGGCUCGUUCGUCGGCAAAUCGGGGAUUUAAUCGUAUAAAACAUAGCAAAUCAACUACACCCAAAUGUAGCAAAUGAAAGGAUAAAGGAUUGGCGAAAGAAGAAAUGUCGAAUGGAAAGGUUUGGAAAUAACGUCAUCCAGGUUAAUUGGAUCGGGGAUUCCUUUGGAUAUUUCUUUCGUUUCUUCGCCAGCACUGCAUCCUCGGUGGGUCACUGAUCACUGCUUGCUGCGUUUGUGUCCAUUUCUGUUAGAUGUGGCAUGUAUAGUAUUUGAAUAUUUGUAAUAGCUUCUGCUGUGUUUGUAAAUGGUGUUGGAAUUUUUGCUGAUAGGUUAAUGAAUUAAGUUUGGUUUUUAAGUGACCAUAA